GACGAACGCUGGCGGCGUGCUUAACACAUGCAAGUCGAACGGUGAAGCGCCUUCCUUUUUGGUGGGUGUGGAUGAGUGGCGAACGGGUGAGUAACACGUGAGUAACCUGCCCCCUUCUUCUGGAUAACCGCAUGAAAGUGUGGCUAAUACGGGAUAUUCUGGGUCUGUCGCAUGAUGGGUCUGGGAAAGAUAUUGUUUCGGUGGGGGAUGGGUUCGCGGCCUAUCAGCUUGUUGGUGGGGUGAUGGCCUACCAAGGCGGUGACGGGUAGCCGGCCUGAGAGGGUGGACGGUCGCACUGGGACUGCGACACCGACAAGACUCCGACGGGAGGCAGCAGGGGGGAAUAUUGCACGAUGGGCGCAAGCCUGAUGCAGCGACGCCGCGUGAGGGAUGGAGGCCUUCGGGUUGUGAACCUCCUUCGCCAGUGAAGCAGGCCUGCCUCGUUUGUGGGUGGGUUGACGGUAGCUGGAUAAGAAGCGCCGGCUAACUACGUG
This 494-nucleotide ribosomal RNA is filed under the name uncultured bacterium. Its description in RNAcentral is "partial 16S ribosomal RNA". It matches the Rfam family "Bacterial small subunit ribosomal RNA", at positions 28 to 507 of the family's 1533-position model. The record is from RNAcentral.